RNAcentral lists this long non-coding RNA (786 nucleotides) under Sarcophilus harrisii (Tasmanian devil). Its description in RNAcentral is "lncRNA (ENSSHAG00000021919.1)". The record is from RNAcentral. Lineage: Eukaryota; Metazoa; Chordata; Mammalia; Dasyuromorphia; Dasyuridae.
UAUUUUAAGAAGUUUUAACACAUUUAACAAGAUUAGUGGAUGGGAGGAGAAAGUAGGAGGGAAAAAAUUUGGAACUGAAAAUAAAAAUGAAUUAAAAAUUAAAAUUGAAUAAGAAUUAAUGAGUUAUAAAACAAUUUGAGGACUACUUUUUUUUUCCUUUAGAGAUUCAUCUUCAAAGUCCACUGGAUUCUAAAAAUCUCAAAGCAAAUGGGAAAGUGUCCCACUGGUUUAGAAAUGGAAUUGGAAGCCUGCAGGAGAAAGCAAGGAUUUUUAUUGUAGGAAUAUCAAGGUGGAGGAGGAUUAAUGACCCACAAAUAGAAGAGAUAAAGAUCAGUGUUUCUUUUGCAUAGAAAGAAUAUUUGGUGCUAUUGGAGCACCCCCUGGAAAAGUUGCUAAUGGGACCUGAGGGCAGGGGGUGAAUAAUUCCUCCUCUGCUUGGUAUUGAGCUCUUCUCCCCAUGUUGGAUUUUCUAUAAAAUGAUUCACUAAGAGUGUGGGUUAUAUUAUUCAAUUGUAUGUUAGCAGCAGAACAAGAGUUUUGGGGGAACAAUGGAAGGAUAGGGUAGAAAGGAUUGGAAAAUUGGAGGAUAAAGCUAUUAUAAACCAUAAUGAGGGACUCCAAAGCCAUGGUCAAGGAAAAGAGUUUUCUUUUUGGUAUUUUUUUGUUUUAUAAUCACUGGGACUCUUGAGUAGUCAUUGGGCAAGAUGUUGCCAUGUGCUUCACAUUGGCAAAGACGAAUCUAAUUCAUUCAAUUACUGACCAAGAGGUAGAACAGCAGAAAUGAUG